AGCGAACGCUGGCGGCAGGCCUAACACAUGCAAGUCGAACGAACUCUUCGGAGUUAGUGGCGGACGGGUGAGUAACACGUGGGAACGUGCCUUUUGGUUCGGAAUAACUCAGGGAAACUUGUGCUAAUACCGAAUGUGCCCUUCGGGGGAAAGAUUUAUCGCCAUUAGAGCGGCCCGCGUCUGAUUAGCUAGUUGGUGAGGUAACGGCUCACCAAGGCGACGAUCAGUAGCUGGUCUGAGAGGAUGACCAGCCACACUGGGACUGAGACACGGCCCAGACUCCUACGGGAGGCAGCAGUGGGGAAUCUUGCGCAAUGGGCGAAAGCCUGACGCAGCCAUGCCGCGUGAAUGAUGAUGGUCUUAGGAUUGUAAAAUUCUUUCACCGGGGACGAUAAUGACGGUACCCGGAGAAGAAGCCCCGGCUAACUUCGUG
This 433-nucleotide ribosomal RNA is filed under the name uncultured bacterium. Its description in RNAcentral is "partial 16S ribosomal RNA". It matches the Rfam family "Bacterial small subunit ribosomal RNA", at positions 29 to 507 of the family's 1533-position model. The record is from RNAcentral.